This 293-nucleotide long non-coding RNA is filed under the name Olea europaea (common olive). RNAcentral's name for it is "long non-coding RNA (OEUR_LNC001172)". The record is from RNAcentral. Lineage: Eukaryota; Viridiplantae; Streptophyta; Magnoliopsida; Lamiales; Oleaceae.
ACCCAUGCUCAAAAAUUCCAAAAAAGAGAAAGGAUGAAGGCGGCACUCACAAAUAGAAAAAAUAGUCGAUUAGAUCACUACACUCACAAAAGUAGAGGAAGAUAACCCACAUAUGGCUACCCUAUAUAGCUCACAAACCACACAGGAUCACAAAGAUAAAGAAGAAAAUGACUUCCUAUCUUUCUUUUCACUACCAUACUUUCUCACGCCAUUUAUAGAGCAAAAAGAGUAUAUCAUAGAUUUCAACACACUAUGCAUACAAACAUAUUAUACAAAGUAAUAAGAUCACACUA